Molecule: ribosomal RNA, 468 nt
Filed under: uncultured bacterium
Lineage: Bacteria
Description: partial 16S ribosomal RNA
Rfam family: Bacterial small subunit ribosomal RNA
Source: RNAcentral
GACGAACGCUGGCGGCGUGCUUAACACAUGCAAGUCGAACGGAAAGGCCCUGCUUUUGUGGGGUGCUCGAGUGGCGAACGGGUGAGUAACACGUGAGUAACCUGCCCUUGACUUUGGGAUAACUUCAGGAAACUGGGGCUAAUACCGGAUAGGAGCUCCUGCUGCAUGGUGGGGGUUGGAAAGUUUCGGCGGUUGGGGAUGGACUCGCGGCUUAUCCGCUUGUUGGUGAGGUAGUGGCUUACCAAGGUUUUGACGGGUAGCCGGCCUGGGAGGGUGACCGGCCACAAUGGGACUGAGAUACGGCCCAGACUCCUACGGGAGGCAGCAGUGGGGAAUAUUGCACAAUGGGCGGAAGCCUGAUGCAGCAACGCCGCGUGCGGGAUGACGGCCUUCGGGUUGUAAACCGCUUUCGCCUGUGACGAAGCGUGAGUGACGGUAAUGGGUAAAGAAGCACCGGCUAACUACGUG